ACUGCCCUAUGGGUUGUAAACUUCUUUUAUACGGGAAGAAACUUUCGAACGUGUUCGGAAUUGACGGUACUGUAUGAAUAAGCAUCGGCUAACUCCGUGC
This 100-nucleotide ribosomal RNA is filed under the name uncultured bacterium. Its description in RNAcentral is "partial 16S ribosomal RNA". The record is from RNAcentral.